This 205-nucleotide ribosomal RNA is filed under the name uncultured bacterium. RNAcentral describes it as "partial 16S ribosomal RNA". It matches the Rfam family "Bacterial small subunit ribosomal RNA", at positions 568 to 773 of the family's 1533-position model. The record is from RNAcentral.
AGCGCAGGCGGGAGGCCAAGUCCAUCCUAAAAGUGCGGGGCUCAACCCCGUGAGGGGAUGGAAACUGGUCUUCUUGAGUGCAGGAGAGGAAAGCGGAAUUCCUAGUGUAGCGGUGAAAUGCGUAGAUAUUAGGAGGAACACCAGUGGCGAAGGCGGCUUUCUGGACUGUAACUGACGCUGAGGCUCGAAAGCCAGGGGAGCAACG